RNAcentral lists this long non-coding RNA (249 nucleotides) under Trifolium pratense (red clover). RNAcentral describes it as "long non-coding RNA (TPRA_LNC010186)". Lineage: Eukaryota; Viridiplantae; Streptophyta; Magnoliopsida; Fabales; Fabaceae. The record is from RNAcentral.
GUUGACACUCUUAUUACAAUUUGUCUAUGCAUUCGGAGUCCGAUCAUAAAGAUUCAUAUUCUCAAUCCAAUUAGGUGAUAUUGAACGGUCGGAUUGAUAAAAUUUGAAAUCUGCAGUUAAUGUCAGUAGUUUUAGUCAAACUUGACAGCCCUUUCAUUGAAACUAGGUUUCCUUCGACACUCUUAUUGCAAUCUGUGUAUACAUUUGGAGUCCGAUCGUAAUAAUUUCAAUUCUCAAUCGUUUGUCAGU